GCUUAACGCGAAGAACCUUACCUGGGCUCGAACGGCGGACGACGUCUCUUAGAAAUAGGAGAGUUUCCUUCGGGAACGGCCGUCGAGGUGCUGCAUGGCUGUCGUCAGCUCGUGUCGUGAGAUGUUGGGUUAAGUCCCGCAACGAGCGCAACCCUUGUCCUGUGUUGCUAAUCUUCGGAUGCACUCUCAGGAGACCGCCAGCGACAAGCUGGAGGAAGGUGGGGAUGAUGUCAAGUCAGCAUGGCCUUUAUGUCCAGGGCUACACACGUGCUACAAUGGGCAGGACAGACCGUUGCAAACCCGCGAGGGGGAGCUAAUCGGAGAAACCUGUUCUCAGUUCGGAUUGCAGGCUGCAACUCGCCUGCAUGAAGCUGGAAUCGCUAGUAAUGGCAGAUCAGCAUGCUGCCGUGAAUACGUUCCCGGGUCUUGUACACACCG
RNAcentral lists this ribosomal RNA (438 nucleotides) under uncultured bacterium. RNAcentral describes it as "bacterial SSU rRNA". It matches the Rfam family "Bacterial small subunit ribosomal RNA", at positions 954 to 1392 of the family's 1533-position model. The record is from RNAcentral.